GUUGACCUCGGAUCAGGUAGGGGAUACCCGCUGAA
RNAcentral lists this ribosomal RNA (35 nucleotides) under Pseudocercospora eucalyptorum. RNAcentral describes it as "partial 28S ribosomal RNA". The record is from RNAcentral. Lineage: Eukaryota; Fungi; Ascomycota; Dothideomycetes; Mycosphaerellales; Mycosphaerellaceae.